CCUACGGGAGGCAGCAGUGAGGAAUAUUGGUCAAUGGACGUAAGUCUGAACCAGCCAAGUCGCGUGAGGGAUGACGGCUCUAUGGAUCGUAAACCUCUUUUAUACGGGAAUAAAGUGCGGGACGUGUCCCGUUUUGUAUGUACCUUAUGAAUAAGGAUCGGCUAACUCCGUGCCAGCAGCCGCGGUAAUACGGAGGAUCCGAGCGUUAUCCGGAUUUAUUGGGUUUAAAGGGUGCGUAGGCGGCCGUUUAAGUCAGCGGUGAAAGCCUGGGGCUCAACAACGGAAUUGCCGCUGAUACUGGGAGGCUAGAGGAUGGUUGAGGCAGGCGGAAUGUGUGGUGUAGCGGUGAAAUGCUUAGAUAUCACGCAGAACCCCGAUUGCGAAGGCAGCUGGCCAAGCUAUGACUGACGCUGAUGCACGAAAGCGUGGGGAUCAAACAGGAUUAGAUACCCUUGUAGUC
This 460-nucleotide ribosomal RNA is filed under the name uncultured bacterium. Its description in RNAcentral is "partial 16S ribosomal RNA". It matches the Rfam family "Bacterial small subunit ribosomal RNA", at positions 338 to 795 of the family's 1533-position model. The record is from RNAcentral.